RNAcentral lists this ribosomal RNA (561 nucleotides) under uncultured bacterium. RNAcentral's name for it is "partial 16S ribosomal RNA". It matches the Rfam family "Bacterial small subunit ribosomal RNA", at positions 355 to 908 of the family's 1533-position model. The record is from RNAcentral.
UGGGGAAUUUUGGACAAUGGGCGAAAGCCUGAUCCAGCAAUGCCGCGUGUGUGAAGAAGGCCUUCGGGUUGUAAAGCACUUUUGUCCGGAAAGAAAUCCUUGGCUCUAAUACAGUCGGGGGAUGACGGUACCGGAAGAAUAAGCACCGGCUAACUACGUGCCAGCAGCCGCGGUAAUACGUAGGGUGCAAGCGUUAAUCGGAAUUACUGGGCGUAAAGCGUGCGCAGGCGGUUUGCUAAGACCGAUGUGAAAUCCCCGGGCUCAACCUGGGAACUGCAUUGGUGACUGGCAGGCUAGAGUAUGGCAGAGGGGGGUAGAAUUCCACGUGUAGCAGUGAAAUGCGUAGAGAUGUGGAGGAAUACCGAUGGCGAAGGCAGCCCCCUGGGCCAAGUACUGACGCUCAUGCACGAAAAGCGUGGGGAGCAAACAGGAUUAAUACCCUGGUAGUCCACGCCCUAAANGAUGUCAACUAGUUGUUGGGGAUUCAUUUCCUUAGUAACGUAGCUAACGCGUGAAGUUGACCGCCUGGGGAGUACGGUCGCAAGAUUAAAACUCAAAGAA